CCCAGUGCAGUGGUGUUUACAACUAAUUGAUCACAACCAGUUACAGGUUCCUUUGUUCCUUCUCCACUCCCACUGCUUCACUUG
This is an unclassified non-coding RNA of Otolemur garnettii (small-eared galago), 84 nucleotides long. It matches the Rfam family "Y RNA". Rfam says of the family: Y RNAs are components of the Ro ribonucleoprotein particle (Ro RNP), in association with Ro60 and La proteins. The Y RNAs and Ro60 and La proteins are well conserved, but the function of the Ro RNP is not known. In humans the RNA component can be one of four small RNAs -- hY1, hY3, hY4 and hY5. Lineage: Eukaryota; Metazoa; Chordata; Mammalia; Primates; Galagidae. The record is from Ensembl.